Long non-coding RNA from Gasterosteus aculeatus aculeatus (three-spined stickleback), 313 nucleotides. The record is from Ensembl. Lineage: Eukaryota; Metazoa; Chordata; Actinopteri; Perciformes; Gasterosteidae.
GGACAAAUGUCUAAUACGGAAGUAGAGGUCGGCAUUGAGUUCAAUCAAACUGCUUCGCUUGCUGAAAUCCCACGGGCUGAAGACGUUGCAAAGACCUUAGUGGACGCUGUGAAUAACCCCAACAGCACCUUCAACCUCUCUAUUGAUGCCGCUUCUGUCGCUGUAAUUCAAAGCAGUAUCCCAUCAAAUACCACAACAGCAGCGCCUGCCACUGAAGCUCCCCGAAGAGUCGUUGUCCUCUCAGCUACUUUGCAACAAGCAUUCGUAAAACAACUCAAUGAUAAAAACAGCACGGAAUUCAGACAACUCGAGG